RNAcentral lists this ribosomal RNA (403 nucleotides) under Fusobacteriota bacterium. RNAcentral describes it as "Fusobacteria bacterium partial 16S ribosomal RNA". It matches the Rfam family "Bacterial small subunit ribosomal RNA", at positions 355 to 776 of the family's 1533-position model. The record is from RNAcentral. Lineage: Bacteria; Fusobacteriati; Fusobacteriota.
UGGGGAAUAUUGCACAAUGGAGGGAACUCUGAUGCAGCGACGCCGCGUGAACGAAGAAGGCUUUCGAGUCGUAAAGUUCUUUUAUAUGGGAAGAUAAUGACGGUACCAUAAGAAAAAGCCCCGGCUAACUACGUGCCAGCAGCCGCGGUAAUACGUAGGGGGCUAGCGUUUUCCGGAAUCACUGGGCGUAAAGGGUUCGCAGGCGGAAAUGCAAGUCAGGUGUAAAAGGGAGUAGCUUAACUACUGUAAGCAUUUGAAACUGCAUAUCUUGAGAAGAGUAGAGGUAAGUGGAAUUUUUAGUGUAGCGGUGAAAUGCGUAGAUAUUAAAAAGAAUACCGGUGGCGAAGGCGACUUACUGGGCUCAUUCUGACGCUGAGGAACGAAAGCGUGGGUAGCAAACAGG